Molecule: long non-coding RNA, 265 nt
Organism: Haliotis rubra (blacklip abalone)
Lineage: Eukaryota; Metazoa; Mollusca; Gastropoda; Lepetellida; Haliotidae
Exons: 3
Source: RefSeq, a predicted model, not a curated record
UAGAUAAUGUUGACUCUUACCCAUUUACAUGACCGUUGAUUGUGAACAUGUAAUGGUUUUACGCCGCUUUUAGCAAUAUUUCAGCUAUAUCAUGGGUGACACUAGAAAUGGGCUUUAUACCUUUUACCAAUGUGGGGAAUCGAACCCGGGUCUUCGCAGUGAUGAACGAACGCUUCAACCACAAGGCUACCUCACGCUAUACAUUUAAUAAAUGACAUUGUGUUGACAAACCCUAUUUCACGUACACGGUAUGCUUGUAUAUCCA